This is a long non-coding RNA of Chroicocephalus ridibundus (black-headed gull), 1119 nucleotides long. RefSeq lists it as uncharacterized. The record is from RefSeq and is a predicted model, not a curated record. Lineage: Eukaryota; Metazoa; Chordata; Aves; Charadriiformes; Laridae. The transcript is spliced from 4 exons.
GUGUUCGAGUAUUUGUUUUUGGAGGCUGUUGCCAAUGUGAAGGCUUGGAAACAUCAUCUUUCAUACAGAGAAGAAGAGACGUGAGGAAAAGCAAGUUGUUGUAGCAGGAGGUCCUUUUUUCCCUUCAUAAUGACACAGCUGGACAGGACUUCCUGCUGACCUGCGCUGCAAAGCAUUCACUUCUGAUUGAAACCGUUACACUGAAAUAGCACUGAGAUGACACAGAGACGGAGCCUCUGGAUCGUCUGGCCAUCGUUCAUCCCUGUUGCACACGUGAGAGAAGACGGAAAGGUCCCUCAAGGGAGGCUUCCCUGGACUGGCAUCUAACAACGGGAACGGUGGAAAACAAGAAGAGAACUUGUCAUUUGCUCAAGAUAACUUAUGAAGCCCAUGGCAGUGGCAGUAACCCGGGUCUCCUCAGUCUCCAGCCACCACUGUGUGUUGAAGAUCUUUCUUCCUCCUUUUCUAAAUUGUUUCAUAACUGUCUGCACCAGCUUUCAGAUUCAAAAACUUCCAGUGAUGUUCCCACGGAGAAAGGCGGCUGGGUUUUUUUCCACUUUUUGUGUUUGAUGUUUCAAAAUAUUGGGCACUCCCUAGCCCAUAUUCAUACCCUGCUCUUGCUAAUGAAUAUCAGGAUAGACGAGAUGCAGGGCAGCUAAUUUAAACCAGUGUAAAAUGUAUGAGAAUUAGUCUUUUGCUACUAGGCCGGGACAGCCCAGCAAGUUUUCUCAGUACCAAUGCACAGUUUUAAUUUGAUUUCAUCCACCAAUGCUAAUAAAAGAACACUCCAAGGCGAGAAUUUAAAAUGAUUAAUUACAAUACUUUAAAAGAUGAAAAAGAAUCUGUGUGUGUCAGUCAUCCUCACGGGGCAAAGAGUAAUGAAAAUGAAAUGCACACAGGAAUGAGUUUUCUAUUGUCAAUGAUAAAAGUGAUAAUCGCCCCAAGUCAAAGCAAAAUGACAGAUGAAAGAAACCUAUAGAACAUCGCCUAAGGGAGCUCCUGAGGCCGGCGCUCAGUACCACAUAUACACAUGCUAGACUGAUAUUUAAUGAAGCUCUGGUUGACUCUGUAAUGAAUGUUGAAGGCUCUCUGGAGCAUCAAACAUCAUUUAACACUGCU